This 451-nucleotide ribosomal RNA is filed under the name uncultured bacterium. RNAcentral's name for it is "bacterial SSU rRNA". It matches the Rfam family "Bacterial small subunit ribosomal RNA", at positions 10 to 507 of the family's 1533-position model. The record is from RNAcentral.
AGUUUGAUCCUGGCUCAGAACGAACGCUGGCGGCAUGCCUAACACAUGCAAGUCGAACGAAGCCUUCGGGCUUAAUGGCGCACGGGUGCGUAACACGUGGGAAUCUGCCCUUUGGUUCGGAAUAACAGUUAGAAAUGACUGCUAAUACCGGAUAAUGACGUAAGUCCAAAGAUUUAUCGCCGAAGGAUGAGCCCGCGUAGGAUUAGGUAGUUGGUGGGGUAAUGGCCCACCAAGCCGACGAUCCUUAGCUGGUCUGAGGGGAUGAUCAGCCACACUGGGACUGAGACACGGCCCAGACUCCUACGGGAGGCAGCAGUGGGGAAUAUUGGACAAUGGGCGAAAGCCUGAUCCAGCAAUGCCGCGUGAGUGAUGAAGGCCUUAGGGUUGUAAAGCUCUUUUACCAGGGAUGAUAAUGACAGUACCUGGAGAAUAAGCUCCGGCUAACUCCGUG